This is a non-coding RNA of Myotis brandtii (Brandt's bat), 84 nucleotides long. The record is from Rfam. Lineage: Eukaryota; Metazoa; Chordata; Mammalia; Chiroptera; Vespertilionidae.
CAGUGCAGUCACCCAUAAAGUAGAAAGCACUACUAACAGCACUGGAGGGUGUAGUGUUUCCUACUUUAUGGAUGAGUGUACUGU